GAUGAAGAACGCAGUGAAAUGCGAUAAGUAAUGUGAAUUGCAGAAUUCAGUGAAUCAUCGAAUCUUUGAACGCACAUUGCGCCCCUUGGUAUUCCGAGGGGCAUGCCUGUUCGAGCGUCAUUUUGACCACUCCCGCUUGCGGGGUCUUGGGCCUUCGCCUCUGGGCGGGCCUUAAAAUCAGUGGCGGUGCCGUCCGGCUCUAAGCGUAGUAAAUCUCCUCGCUAUAGGGUUCCGGAGGGAUGCUGGCCAACAACCCCCAAUUUUUUUCAGGUUGACCUCGGAUCAGGUAGGGAUACCCGCUGAACUUAAGCAUAUCAAUAAGCGGAGGA
Molecule: unclassified non-coding RNA, 329 nt
Filed under: soil metagenome
Description: partial contains 5.8S ribosomal RNA, internal transcribed spacer 2, and large subunit ribosomal RNA
Rfam family: 5.8S ribosomal RNA (bases 1-120)
Source: RNAcentral